RNAcentral lists this small RNA (29 nucleotides) under Bombyx mori (domestic silkworm). RNAcentral's name for it is "ovarian small RNA-5832". The record is from RNAcentral. Lineage: Eukaryota; Metazoa; Arthropoda; Insecta; Lepidoptera; Bombycidae.
UAAUCUCGGCCAUCCUCACCGGCCUGUGC